Long non-coding RNA from Pongo pygmaeus (Bornean orangutan), 844 nucleotides. RefSeq lists it as uncharacterized. The record is from RefSeq and is a predicted model, not a curated record. NCBI's taxonomy places the organism in Eukaryota, Metazoa, Chordata, Mammalia, Primates, Hominidae. The transcript is spliced from 6 exons.
GCGUGCCCGCCCGGCGCCCUCUAGGCUGGAAGGCUGCGGGCGUUCUACCGGUGCCAGCACUGACAGAGCGCGAGGAGCGCGGCGCGGGCCAGCCGGGACUGCUGGACAGCGGGGUCCAGGCUAGAGGGGAGCGGUCAGUGACGGCUGUGGAGGAGGGAGGCGCUGGGCGUCAGCGCGGGAGCCGAGCCUCUGGACCACUGAGCUGGGGGGCUGGCUGAGGUCCACCUCCUAACGAAUUAUUGGAAGGAAUAUGAGAAAAAAAUGUAGAGUCUUACCUCACUAUGUUGCUCAGGCUGGUCUCUAGACUCCUGGAUCCAAGCCAUCCUCCUGCCUCUGCCUCUCAAAGUGCUGAGAUUACAGUGUGAGCCACUGCGCUCGGGUUAAAAGGGAAUCUCACUGUCGUCCAGGCUGGAGUGCACUGCUGUGAUCUUGGCUCACUGCAACCUCCCUCUCCUGGGUUCAAGCGAUUCUUGUGCCUCAGCAUCCCAAGUAGCUGGGACUACAGCCACCAGUGGGGCUUCUCUGCCGUAAAGGAGAUAAAGGACAUGGAGAGGAAUGGCUUUGGAGUCCAACAGGCCAUUGUCCUGGGCUCCUGAACCUGGUCAGCCUACAAACAUUCACUGGCUACUUACCACACAAAGCCAGUCUCAGAGAAAUCUGUGAACAUCUGUAUGUAGGCUAUCGCUUUCUAGAUGUCACUAGUAGAGAAGUUUACACCUUGGGCUCUAAAAACAAUUCCAGAUUAUCAAGGUAUGUUAAGUACCAUGCCCAGACAUCUUAAAUAUACUUGUUCUGCUUCUGUUUUUACUAGUAGAUGAGUUAUUUUCUUUGCAAAGGCAAAUGG